This is a long non-coding RNA of Schistocerca gregaria, 334 nucleotides long. RefSeq lists it as uncharacterized. The transcript has 4 exons. The record is from RefSeq and is a predicted model, not a curated record. Lineage: Eukaryota; Metazoa; Arthropoda; Insecta; Orthoptera; Acrididae.
UUCGUAUCAAUCAUGCGUUUGUAGGGAAUUGCGUUGCAUUAUCCGUCUAAUAUGUAAGUGCUUUGAUGGGAGGGCCAGGAAAUCAAAGAAAGGCGCAUAUUGAGUCUGUGGCUUAGGAGGGCAGUCAUGGACUGCAAGGGAAGUAGUUGGCUGAAAAAAGAGAAUAAUGAAGUAUAUGCUGAACCAGGCUCCUUGGUACAGUUACACACAUCGACCAUGAAAGUAAAAGAAGAAUUGGAUGAGCAAGUGAACCAACAGUGUCUUGAAGAUAACUUUGGAACCCCUUGGCCAAAUGAUUUUAUCAAGGAGGAUCCUGAACUAAAUUUGGAGGUAG